UACGUAGGGUCCGAGCGUUGUCCGGAAUUACUGGGCGUAAAGCGCGCGCAGGCGGCUUCCCAAGCGCCACGUGAAAGCCCCGGGCUCAACCCGGGAGGGUCGCGGCGAACUGGGAGGCUUGAGGCCGGUAGAGGUGGGUGGAACUCCUGGUGGAGUGGUGAAAUGCGUAGAGAUCAGGAAGAACACCCGUGGCGAAGGCGGCCCACUGGGCCGGUGCUGACGCUGAGGCGCGAAGGCCUGGGGAGCGAACGGG
This 253-nucleotide ribosomal RNA is filed under the name uncultured bacterium. RNAcentral's name for it is "partial 16S ribosomal RNA". It matches the Rfam family "Bacterial small subunit ribosomal RNA", at positions 524 to 776 of the family's 1533-position model. The record is from RNAcentral.